AGGAUGAACGCUGGCGGCGUGCUUAACACAUGCAAGUCACGGGGGUUUGAGGCGCAAGCCUUGGGCAACCGGCGAACGGGUGCGUAACACGUGAGCAACCUACCGAAAUGAGGGGGAUAGCCGGCCCAACGGCCGGGUAAUACCGCAUACGCUCGAAACCAGGCAUUUGGACUCGAGGAAACCUCCGGGGCAUUUCGAGGGGCUCGCGGCCUAUCAGCUAGUUGGUGAGGUAACGGCUCACCAAGGCGACGACGGGUAGCUGGU
This 264-nucleotide ribosomal RNA is filed under the name uncultured soil bacterium. RNAcentral describes it as "partial 16S ribosomal RNA". It matches the Rfam family "Bacterial small subunit ribosomal RNA", at positions 26 to 291 of the family's 1533-position model. The record is from RNAcentral.